AAGAGUAAAAAACAAUUAAAAAACCCAUGGGUUAUUUUAAUUACGAAUAUAUAUUGUGAUUUUAAAUUAUGUAAAAACAUGAAAUUCUAGUUAUCUCCCUUGGCACUCUUUAGUAAAAGGAGUUGGAAAGGGUGUAUUUAACUCUUCAGUUUAGAAGGUGACUAUUUAAGAAAUGUGUGUGAUUUCAUCUUCAUUUCGGAAGUUUUGCCGGUUUUCAUACAUCCAAGGGGCAUGUAAGUCUAAAUUUUUUAUUAGAAAAAUAUAAGCCUAGGAUAAAAAAAUAACUGCCUGCAAUUUGCUUAAUUUUAUCUGACAAAAACACAAUUUUAUUUCCUAAACAUGCUAAAUGAGAACAGAGUUUGAGUGUUUUGAAAAAGGCUAAUUUGUUUAACAAUAACAUCAAAACUACUUAAAUUCAGUUAAUUUUGGGAAAAACAUUUAAUUUUGUACUGGAAUUUGAACAGUAGCUCGCUGCUGGGGAUUACAGUAUGAUGAGUAUCUCUCCUUUCCGUCGAUACUCCCUUAUAGUGCUGCAAUAUACACAGUCGACUGGAAGAAGUCCUCGACCUCAGCAUACAUGAAGUCAUAGCAAGAAGCAGUGAAAGCCACAGCAGAGAUUGGAUCGAGCAUAGUUUUUUUUUUCUAUGUCUCGGCGCCUCUAUGGAUGUCAUAUUUAGAUCAGAUGCAAUCUGAGGCUUGUUCUGAAUUUCAAAAUCCCCUUUGACAACACCUGCACAGCUGAGCAAUCAAGGACCUUCUGACUAAGGGCUGAAUUAUAGUGAACACUGCCAUUCAGAGACUUUCAAACAGAUUGAUGAAUGAACCACAUGCAUUAUGUCAGAGGAAUCUAGCUGGAGCAUCUAUUUAGCAGCCAGGACACAUAAAUGUACCUGUACAGUUGAUACAGAUAAUCUCAACAGCACAUUUCUAAAUGAUGGCCAAAAAAAUCUAAUAAAGACACUGUCAGUUUAAAACUUUUUGAAAGAAAUCCAGACCAGAAACAAAGGAUAUUGAUUUUUAAGCUCCUCCAAAUGUAAAAGGGGUUUUAUUGAAACCAAGACCAGGAUACACCCAAGGAUAUUGAAUAUUACACCCCUUCAACAUAAAAUUUUGAAUUUUAAUUUGCCUAUCUAGUCAAGAACAUGGAUUUUUUGUCAUUUGAUACACUUUAUAAUGUUAUAUUGACUUUUUUUUCAAGAUUUCUUUACUGUAAACUAUAUAUUUCAGCAAAAAGUACAUUUACAGAUGAUUUUUCAAAAAUUGCUUUAAAAAUACAGUUGA
This is a long non-coding RNA of Saccostrea cuccullata (small rock oyster), 1281 nucleotides long. RefSeq lists it as uncharacterized. NCBI's taxonomy places the organism in Eukaryota, Metazoa, Mollusca, Bivalvia, Ostreida, Ostreidae. The transcript has 4 exons. The record is from RefSeq and is a predicted model, not a curated record.